Long non-coding RNA from Leptinotarsa decemlineata (Colorado potato beetle), 1160 nucleotides. Lineage: Eukaryota; Metazoa; Arthropoda; Insecta; Coleoptera; Chrysomelidae. The record is from RefSeq and is a predicted model, not a curated record.
UUACGAGUGGUGAGUGGUUAUUGGGACUAUUUGGCAGAGUUUAUUGUUUUCUGGAGCAUUUUGGCCGCAAUUUUUGUACUUAGUGUAUUACAACGAUAUUAAUAUGAGUGAUUCGGAGAGUGGAAACGAAGGUUCAAGCACUGGGAAAAGAAAGAAAUAUGAUCAAAACUACAAGGAGGAGUGGCAGAAUAUUGCUCAGUUUAAAGGAUGAUUAAUGAAAAGUGAGAAAGACAGAACUUAUGCCAAAUGUAAGGUAUGCAAUAAAGACAUAAAUAUUGCUAGCGGUAAAGAUGCUUUAAUAAAGCACAGUAAAGGAAAAGCGCAUUUAACUAAAUGUAAAAGCAUUUUUCACGACAACCAGAUAUAACAUAUUUCACAUCAGAGGCAUCAACAGCAAUUGUAGCAAAGCAACGGGUCAAAGAAGGUGAAAUCCGUUUAAGUGCCUUUAUCGCUGAACACCAUCUCCCAUUCUCCGUAAUGGAUAAUUUAGUGAAGGUAGUGGAAAAAGUAUGCAUGGAUUCCGAAAUUGCUAAAACAAUGGCUUGUGGUAGAACCAAGACUACUGCAGUAGUGAAGAAUGUUCUAAGGCCCUGGACACUGAAUGGCGAUUGCUACGGAACACCGAGGAGAUUCAUCGGCUAAUGUCGAAAGAAUAUUCUCAGACAUUACUUUCACCACAACUAAGCAACGAAAUAGAUUAGGUACUGAUACUAUUUCUGGACUGCUUCAUACUAGAAGGUACUUUCGAGACCACAGUUGCUACGACUUUGAAAUAGAAAAGAAGCAUCUAAUGACAAUGAAUGACAGAUCGGCAUUUUAUAAAGGUGAAUUUCAAAACAAUUCCGAUUCUGAUGAAAACUGACAUACAACUUUAUUGUUUAAAAAAUUUGUUAUUUUUUAUGGGAGUUUAUUUUGUUAACCUAUGUUACUUUUGUUAUAUUUUGACUUUGACUGAUGUUUGGGAUUGUAAUAUUAAUAUACCGUUUUGUAUGCUGUGUUGUUCUGUUGGUAAUAUGUAAUGUAACGUGUACGACAUAAAAAAUCUGUUUUUUACUAAUUUUUUGGUUAAUUUAUUUUGUUUAUAUUUUUAGUUCUAACUGUUAAUGUUAAUUAAAAUAUAUGUGCUCAUUUAGAUGAAGUUUAAUAAAAACACAUACUUA